UGGGGCGUCGUCAAGCGGUAAGACCCUGGAUUUUGAUUCCAGUAUUCGCAGGUUCGAAUCCUGCCGCCCCAUCCA
This 75-nucleotide transfer RNA is filed under the name Bdellovibrionales bacterium CG10_big_fil_rev_8_21_14_0_10_45_34. Its description in RNAcentral is "tRNA-Gln". It matches the Rfam family "tRNA". From Rfam's summary of the family: Transfer RNA (tRNA) molecules are approximately 80 nucleotides in length. Their secondary structure includes four short double-helical elements and three loops (D, anti-codon, and T loops). Further hydrogen bonds mediate the characteristic L-shaped molecular structure. tRNAs have two regions of fundamental functional importance: the anti-codon, which is responsible for specific mRNA codon recognition, and the 3' end, to which the tRNAs corresponding amino acid is attached (by aminoacyl-tRNA synthetases). tRNAs cope with the degeneracy of the genetic code in two manners: having more than one tRNA (with a specific anti-codon) for a particular amino acid; and 'wobble' base-pairing, i.e. permitting non-standard base-pairing at the 3rd anti-codon position. The record is from RNAcentral. Lineage: Bacteria; Pseudomonadati; Bdellovibrionota; Bdellovibrionia; Bdellovibrionales.